GUCCACGCCCUAACGAUGUCGACUAGUCGUUCGGAGCAGCAAUGCACUGAGUGACGCAGCUAACGCGUGAAGUCGACCGCCUGGGAGUACGGCCGCAAGGUUAAACUCAAGGAAUUGACGGGACCCGCACAAGCGGUGGAUGAUGUGGAUUAAUUCGAUGCAACGCGAAAACCUUACCUACCCUUGACAUGUCUGGAACCUUGCUGAGAGGCGAGGGUGCCUUCGGGAGCCAGAACACAGGUGCUGCAUGGCUGUCGU
This 258-nucleotide ribosomal RNA is filed under the name uncultured bacterium. Its description in RNAcentral is "partial 16S ribosomal RNA". It matches the Rfam family "Bacterial small subunit ribosomal RNA", at positions 793 to 1055 of the family's 1533-position model. The record is from RNAcentral.